UACGAAGGGUGCAAGCGUUACUCGGAAUUACUGGGCGUAAAGCGUGCGUAGGUGGUUUUUUAAGUCCGUUGUGAAAGCCCUGGGCUCAACCUGGGAAUGGCAGUGGAAACUAGGGGACUGGAAUCUGGCAGAGGGGGGUGGAAUGCCGCGUGUAGCAGUGAAAUGCGUAGAGAUGCGGCGGAACACCGAUGGCGAAGGCAGCCCCCUGGGCUGAGAUUGACGCUCAGGCACGAAAGCGUGGGGAGCAAACAGG
RNAcentral lists this ribosomal RNA (253 nucleotides) under uncultured bacterium. RNAcentral describes it as "partial 16S ribosomal RNA". It matches the Rfam family "Bacterial small subunit ribosomal RNA", at positions 524 to 776 of the family's 1533-position model. The record is from RNAcentral.